RNAcentral lists this ribosomal RNA (376 nucleotides) under uncultured Gammaproteobacteria bacterium. RNAcentral describes it as "bacterial SSU rRNA". It matches the Rfam family "Bacterial small subunit ribosomal RNA", at positions 521 to 896 of the family's 1533-position model. The record is from RNAcentral. Lineage: Bacteria; Pseudomonadati; Pseudomonadota; Gammaproteobacteria.
UAAUACGGAGGGUGCAAGCGUUAAUCGGAAUUACUGGGCGUAAGGCGCGCGUAGGCGGUUUGUUAAGUCAGCUGUGAAAGCCCUGGGCUCAACCUGGGAACUGCAGUUGAUACUGGCCGACUAGAGUACGAGAGAGGGAGGUAGAAUUCCAUGUGUAGCGGUGAAAUGCGUAGAUAUAUGGAGGAAUACCAGUGGCGAAGGCGGCCUCCUGGCUCGAUACUGACGCUGAGGUGCGAAAGCGUGGGGAUCAAACAGGAUUAGAUACCCUGGUAGUCCACGCCGUAAACGAUGUCUACUAGCCGUUGGGAGACUUGAUUUCUUAGUGGCGCAGCUAACGCAAUAAGUAGACCGCCUGGGGAGUACGGCCGCAAGGUUA